UGGGGAAUCUUGCGCAAUGGGGGAAACCCUGACGCAGCGACGCCGCGUGGAGGAUGGAGGUCUUCGGGUUGUAAACUCCUUUUCUCAGGAAAGAUGAUGACGGUACCUGAGGAAUAAGCCACGGCUAACUCUGUG
This 135-nucleotide ribosomal RNA is filed under the name uncultured bacterium. RNAcentral describes it as "partial 16S ribosomal RNA". It matches the Rfam family "Bacterial small subunit ribosomal RNA", at positions 355 to 507 of the family's 1533-position model. The record is from RNAcentral.